UCGUGGGGGAUAACUACUCGAAAGAGUAGCUAAUACCGCAUACGAUCUGAGGAUGAAAGCGGGGGACCUUCGGGCCUCGCGCGAUUGGAGCGGCCGAUGGCAGAUUAGGUAGUUGGUGGGAUAAAAGCUUACCAAGCCGACGAUCUGUAGCUGGUCUGAGAGGACGACCAGCCACACUGGGACUGAGACACGGCCCAGACUCCUACGGGAGGCAGCAGUGGGGAAUUUUGGACAAUGGGCGAAAGCCUGAUCCAGCAAUGCCGCGUGCAGGAUGAAGGCCUUCGGGUUGUAAACUGCUUUUGUACGGAACGAAAAAGCUUCUCCUAAUACGAGAGGCCCAUGACGGUACCGUAAGAAUAAGCACCGGCUAACUACGUGCCAGCAGCCGCGGUAAUACGUAGGGUGCGAGCGUUAAUCGGAAUUACUGGGCGUAAAGCGUGCGCAGGCGGUUAUGUAAGACAGAUGUGAAAUCCCCGGGCUCAACCUGGGAACUGCAUUUGUGACUGCAUGGCUAGAGUACGGUAGAGGGGGAUGGAAUUCCGCGUGUAGCAGUGAAAUGCGUAGAUAUGCGGAGGAACACCGAUGGCGAAGGCAAUC
RNAcentral lists this ribosomal RNA (597 nucleotides) under Delftia sp. N-YB-1240. RNAcentral's name for it is "bacterial SSU rRNA". It matches the Rfam family "Bacterial small subunit ribosomal RNA", at positions 134 to 726 of the family's 1533-position model. Lineage: Bacteria; Pseudomonadati; Pseudomonadota; Betaproteobacteria; Burkholderiales; Comamonadaceae. The record is from RNAcentral.